Molecule: ribosomal RNA, 435 nt
Filed under: uncultured Lachnospiraceae bacterium
Lineage: Bacteria; Bacillati; Bacillota; Clostridia; Lachnospirales; Lachnospiraceae
Description: partial 16S ribosomal RNA
Rfam family: Bacterial small subunit ribosomal RNA
Source: RNAcentral
ACGGAAGGCAGCAGUGGGGAAUAUUGCACAAUGGGCGAAAGCCUGAUGCAGCGACGCCGCGUGAGCGAUGAAGUAUUUCGGUAUGUAAAGCUCUAUCAGCAGGGAAGAAUAAUGACGGUACCUGACUAAGAAGCACCGGCUAAAUACGUGCCAGCAGCCGCGGUAAUACGUAUGGUGCAAGCGUUAUCCGGAUUUACUGGGUGUAGAGGGAGCGCAGGCGGUACGGCAAGUCUGAUGUGAAAGCCCGGGGCUCAACCCCGGUACUGCAUUGGAAACUGUCGAACUAGAGUGUCGGAGGGGUAAGUGGAAUUCCUAGUGUAGCGGUGAAAUGCGUAGAUAUUAGGAGGAACACCAGUGGCGAAGGCGGCUUACUGGACGAUAACUGACGCUGAGGCUCGAAAGCGUGGGGAGCAAACAGGAUUAGAUACCCUGGUA